CUACGGGAUGCUGCAGUGGGGAAUAUUGCACAAUGGGCGCAAGCCUGAUGCAGCCAUGCCGCGUGUAUGAAGAAGGCCUUCGGGUUGUAAAGUACUUUCAGCGGGGAGGAAGGGAGUAAAGUUAAUACCUUUGCUCAUUGACGUUACCCGCAGAAGAAGCACCGGCUAACUCCGUGCCAGCAGCCAGCGGUAAUACGGAGGGUGCAAGCGUUAAUCGGAAUUACUGGGCGUAAAGCGCACGCAGGCGGUUUGUUAAGUCAGAUGUGAAAUCCCCGGGCUCAACCUGGGAACUGCAUCUGAUACUGGGAAGCUUGAGUCUCGUAGAGGGGGGUAGAAUUCCAGGUGUAGCGGUGAAAUGCGUAGAGAUCUGGAGGAAUACCGGUGGCGAAGGCGGCCCCCUGGACGAAGACUGACGCUCAGGUGCGAAAGCGUGGGGAGCAAACAGGAUUAGAUACCCUUGUAGUC
RNAcentral lists this ribosomal RNA (465 nucleotides) under uncultured bacterium. RNAcentral's name for it is "partial 16S ribosomal RNA". It matches the Rfam family "Bacterial small subunit ribosomal RNA", at positions 339 to 795 of the family's 1533-position model. The record is from RNAcentral.